RNAcentral lists this unclassified non-coding RNA (414 nucleotides) under Hevea brasiliensis (rubber tree). The record is from RNAcentral. Lineage: Eukaryota; Viridiplantae; Streptophyta; Magnoliopsida; Malpighiales; Euphorbiaceae.
AUUUGUGUUUUCUAAUUACUAUCUAAAAAAAAAUUGUGUACUCGUACUCUGAUUAUUAUUUUGUUGGGUGGCUUUGAAUUGAAAAGUCUAAUUUUUGGAUUGUAUAGACGGUAUAGGUUUGCACAGAAUUCUCCCCAUCAGCAACAGCAACAGAACAGAGCAGCUUCCCUGCUUUCUCAUCUGCUGCAUUCUAUUUUUAUGGAAUAAAAAAUAACUAGUGCGGUCAGUUCAAGAAAGAGAUAGUUAAUCAUCACUCUUUCGGAUUUUUUUUCUUAACAGCAUUUGGAAUCUUUGGUACUAGCAACUACCCUUUUUAUUACCACCAUAUUGUUUUUUUCAUCCUCAAUUAGUAUAUUUUACAUUUGCUUGUUGGUUAUACUAUUAUGGCCUCUUAAACUGUUGGUUUCAACCAGU